UGAGGGUUUCAGGGCAUGGGUCUCUGGCAGGGAGAUUUAUGUAAAGGGUUGACCCACGGUGUCAAUGUAGGUGGAAGUACUAACAGACUCACCUUUGGGAAGGGGACCGAGCUCAUCAUCCAGCCCUCUAUUCAGAACCCUGACCCUGCCGUGUACCAGCUGAAAAGCCCUGAAUUCAGUAACAUCUCUGUCUGCCUGUUCACUGAUUUUGAUUCGAAAGUCAAUGUGAAACCAUCCACAGAGUCCAACAUGAUUAGAUUGAAAAGUACUUCACUGGACAUGAAGACUAUGGAUUCCAAGAGCAACGGGGCCCUGGCCUGGAGCAACAGCUUUGAUUUGGGAUGCAACAGUACCUUCAACUACACCUUCCACUCCAGCUCAGAAUUUCCCUGCGAUGCCAAUGUGGUAGAGAAAGGCUUUGAAACAGAUAUGAACCUAAAUUUCGACAACCUGAUAGUGAUCAUGCUCCGCAUCAUCUUCCUGAAGGCAGUUGGCUUUAACCUGCUCAUGACGCUGAGGCUGUGGUCCAGCUGAGGUCGCCAAGAAUGUGAGAGCCCAGCGCUCCCCUGCUCCUCCCACACCUUCUCCCCAUCUUCAAGAAGAGAGGCACACUCUCUGCCCCCAUGGAGAAUAAGGUUCCCUCCACCUCUCUGGUCCCACUGGCAACGCCACUGACCGAACCCUAGCAGACAUUUGUGAUCAAGAUGCUGAAGAGCUGCCAAACACCGCUGCCACACCCUCUGUCCCCUCAUCGCUGCUUGUCACUGCCUGACACUCCCGGCAAAGGAGCUGCUGCUGUGGCCUCACCUGGCUGGGGAGAAACUCCCCGACCUUCCCCUGAGACUGCCCAUAUGUCCCCUGGAUGAGGGAUCCCCAGUGGGUCCUCUCGAGCUCUAGCUCCUGGAGAAUGUUGUGAGGAGUUUAUAUAUUUUAAAUUAUGUUCAUAAAGGAAUAACACAUCACACUUGUCCCCAAGAUGUGAGGAAAAUUAUUAUCUAGGCCCUGCUGUGCUGUGUAUCUGAGCCACAUUGUAUAUUCUGCUACCCAUGACUUCAUUAAAGGCGAUUGAAAGAGCA
Non-coding RNA from Lynx canadensis (Canada lynx), 1076 nucleotides. NCBI's taxonomy places the organism in Eukaryota, Metazoa, Chordata, Mammalia, Carnivora, Felidae. The record is from the annotation of a RefSeq genome assembly.